GACGAACGCUGGCGGCGUGCCUAAUACAUGCAAGUUGAGCGCUGAAGGUUGGUACUUGUACCAACUGGAUGAGCAGCGAACGGGUGAGUAACGCGUGGGGAAUCUGCCUUUGAGCGGGGGACAACAUUUGGAAACGAAUGCUAAUACCGCAUAAAAACUUUAAACACAAGUUUUAAGUUUGAAAGAUGCAAUUGCAUCACUCAAAGAUGAUCCCGCGUUGUAUUAGCUAGUUGGUGAGGUAAAGGCUCGCCAAGGCGAUGAUACCUAGCCGACCUGAGAGGGUGAUCGGCCACAUUGGGACUGAGACACGGCCCAAACUCCUACGGGAGGCAGCAGGAGGGAAUCUUCGGCAAUGGACGAAAGUCUUACCGAGCAACGCCGCGGGAGUGAAGAAGGGUUUCGGAUCGUAAAACUCUGUUGGUAGAGAAGAACGUUGGUGGGAGUGGAAAGCUCAUCAAGUGACGGUAACUACCCAGAAAGGGACGGCUAACUACGUG
This 497-nucleotide ribosomal RNA is filed under the name uncultured bacterium. RNAcentral describes it as "partial 16S ribosomal RNA". It matches the Rfam family "Bacterial small subunit ribosomal RNA", at positions 28 to 507 of the family's 1533-position model. The record is from RNAcentral.